ACGGGAGGCAGCAGUGGGGAAUAUUGCACAAUGGGGGAAACCCUGAUGCAGCGACGCCGCGUGAGUGAAGAAGUAUUUCGGUAUGUAAAGCUCUAUCAGCAGGGAAGAUAAUGACGGUACCUGACUAAGAAGCCCCGGCUAACUACGUGCCAGCAGCCGCGGUACUACGUAGGGGGCAAGCGUUAUCCGGAUUUACUGGGUGUAAAGGGAGCGUAGACGGUUUGGCAAGUCUGAAGUGAAAGCCCGGGGCUCAACCCCGGUAUUGCUUUGGAAACUGUUGAACUAGAGUGCCGGAGGGGUAAGCGGAAUUCCUAGUGUAGCGGUGAAAUGCGUAGAUAUUAGGAGGAACACCAGUGGCGAAGGCGGCUUACUGGACGGUAACUGACGUUGAGGCUCGAAAGCGUGGGGAGCAAACAGGAUUAGAUACCCUGGUA
Molecule: ribosomal RNA, 434 nt
Filed under: uncultured Clostridium sp.
Lineage: Bacteria; Bacillati; Bacillota; Clostridia; Eubacteriales; Clostridiaceae
Description: partial 16S ribosomal RNA
Rfam family: Bacterial small subunit ribosomal RNA
Source: RNAcentral